RNAcentral lists this ribosomal RNA (497 nucleotides) under uncultured bacterium. Its description in RNAcentral is "partial 16S ribosomal RNA". It matches the Rfam family "Bacterial small subunit ribosomal RNA", at positions 28 to 507 of the family's 1533-position model. The record is from RNAcentral.
GAUGGACGCUGGCGGCGUGCCUAAUACAUGCAAGUCGAGCGAACAGACGAGGAGCUUGCUCCUCUGACGUUAGCGGCGGACGGGUGAGUAACACGUGGAUAACCUACCUAUAAGACUGGGAUAACUUCGGGAAACCGGAGCUAAUACCGGAUAAUAUAUUGAACCGCAUGGUUCAAUAGUGAAAGACGGCUUUGCUGUCACUUAUAGAUGGAUCCGCGCCGCAUUAGCUAGUUGGUAAGGUAACGGCUUACCAAGGCAACGAUGCGUAGCCGACCUGAGAGGGUGAUCGGCCACACUGGAACUGAGACACGGUCCAGACUCCUACGGGAGGCAGCAGUAGGGAAUCUUCCGCAAUGGGCGAAAGCCUGACGGAGCAACGCCGCGUGAGUGAUGAAGGUCUUCGGAUCGUAAAACUCUGUUAUUAGGGAAGAACAAAUGUGUAAGUAACUAUGCACGUCUUGACGGUACCUAAUCAGAAAGCCACGGCUAACUACGUG